UAGGGAAUCUUCGGCAAUGGACGGAAGUCUGACCGAGCAACGCCGCGUGAGUGAAGAAGGUUUUCGGAUCGUAAAGCUCUGUUGUAAGAGAAGAACGAGUGUGAGAGUGGAAAGUUCACGCUGUGACGGUAUCUUACCAGAAAGGGACGGCUAACUACGUGCCAGCAGCCGCGGUAAUACGUAGGUCCCGAGCGUUGUCCGGAUUUAUUGGGCGUAAAGCGAGCGCAGGCGGUUAGAUAAGUCUGAAGUUAAAGGCUGUGGCUUAACCAUAGUACGCUUUGGAAACUGUUUAACUUGAGUGCAAGAGGGGAGAGUGGAAUUCCAUGUGUAGCGGUGAAAUGCGUAGAUAUAUGGAGGAACACCGGUGGCGAAAGCGGCUCUCUGGCUUGUAACUGACGCUGAGGCUCGAAAGCGUGGGGAGCAAACAGGAUUAGAUACCCUUGUAGUCCCUGAGCGGGCUGGCAAGGCGCAU
This 472-nucleotide ribosomal RNA is filed under the name uncultured bacterium. RNAcentral describes it as "bacterial SSU rRNA". It matches the Rfam family "Bacterial small subunit ribosomal RNA", at positions 355 to 825 of the family's 1533-position model. The record is from RNAcentral.